CCCUGACCUCACCGCCUGGCAACUAAGACUUUGCCUGAACCCAGUGCUGUGGGGCAGAGCGCUGUUUGUCGCGGUGUCUCCGAGUUCUGACCCAGAAGCUGCCUGAACACCAGGAGACACCUGCAGGCCUUUCUGUGUGCUCUCCUCCACCCUCCUCUUCCAUCUUCUCUUCGGAAGUCAGACCCUGGAGUCUUCUAGGAGAAAAGUGACUUCCAGGAAUACAGUCACAACACAAGCCUUGUGGAUGCAGUGAGAGAUGCUUCUCCUUUAAGAGGAGGCGCUGGCCUGCAAGCCCCAUCCUGACCCCACAGAGACCCCUCUGUUCAUAUGCAGUGGGCUGCUCACACUGCCAAGCCUGAGUGCAGGACUCUCAUCUGUAAAGAGGAGGCUUUGCCUCUUCCCUCAGGAUUUUUCUUCUGAACCUCGGGUUCAGACCCAGACUCCUUGUGUUUAUUCCCAGAAGAUGCAUCUGUGGCUCCAGCCACAGAACUGAAGUGGAAAGAAGAGGAGAGAUGGGUGGGGGCUCCUGAAGAGAGUGACCCAUCACACAGAGCAACAAAUGUGGUGAGCACUGGUGUGCACUCCAGUCACCUCCCCAUGCAGGUCUCCACAACAGCCCAGCAACCUCUCCAGGAUUCGGAGGCUCCUGUUUCAGUGAACCACUCUUAGGUGCUGUGAGUGUUUUCAAGGGAACUUGAAGCUCUUAGGUUCCAUCCUGACUGACCUAAGGAUGCAGUUGGGAUAGGCAUCCCCACCGAAAGGAUCUGUCUCUGUUACUUUUCUUCUCAUUUAUUCUGUUUUUUUGAGACAAGGUCUGUCUGCACUGCUCUGGUUGUCCUGGAACUUACUAUGUAGACCAAGCUGACCUUGACCUCCCAGAGAUACAUCUGCCUUUCAUCCUGAGGGUUGGGUGUCUUAGUUUCCCUUUCAUUGUUGUAAAGAAACACCAUGACCAAGGCAACAAUUCUAGAAAGAAACAUUCAAUAGUGGCUGGAUAACAGUUUCAGGGGUUUAGUCCAUUAUAACAGGAAGCAUGGCAGCUGCAGGCAGACAUGGUGCUGAAGGAGCUGAGACUUCUACAUCUUGAUCCAAAGGCAGCCAGGAAGAGGCUCUCAUUCCACAAUGGGCAGAGCAUGAGCACAGAGACCUCAAAACCCUUCCUCUCAGUGACACACUUCCUCCAACAAGGCCACGCCUACUCCCACAAGGCCACACCUCCUAAUAGUGCCACUCUUUUUGGACCAAGCAUCCAAACACAUCAGUCUAUGGGGGCCACCUAUUCAAUCAACAACAACAGGAUUGAAGGCCUGUGUUAGCACACUAGUUCUAGUUAGUUUUUAUUACUGCCAUAAGACACUCUGACCAAGGUAUCUUAUAAAAGAAUAUGUUUAAUCUGUUAUAUAGUUUCAGAGGAUUUGAGUCCGUGAUGGCAGAGGAGAGGUGUGGUGGGGGAACAGCUAAGAGCUCCCGACUUGAUUUGCAAGUAACAGACUGAGACACUGUGAACAGUGAAAGUCGAUUUUUAAAAAAUUUUGAUAUAUAUAAUAUAUGUAAUAUAAAAUAUUAUUGUAUAUAACAUAUAAUAUUGUAUAUGAUAUAUAUAAUUUAUUCAUAAAGUACCUGUCUUCAGACACCAUAGAGGGCAUCAGAUCUCAUUACAGAGGGUUGUGAGGCACCGUGUGGUUGCUGGGAUUUGAACUCAGGAACAGCCAUUGCUAUUGACCACUGAGCCAUCUCUCCAGCCCAGUAAAAGUCUUUUAAAACCUCAGUGCACACACCAGUGGCACACAUCCUCCAUCAAGGCCACACCUCCCAAUCCUCUCUGAACAUGGCCUCAGCUGGAUUUGAAGGAUUCAUUCCCAUGAGCCUUUGUGGCUGUUCUCAUUCAAACCAGCACACCAGUCACUGUAAGUGUAAGAGGCCAGCAGGGUUCUGGAGAUGUGUCCAGUGCAGUCUGAGGGAAAUGCCCUCACACAGGGCACUCUGCUGAGUUAGGACUCCCCCUUUGUCUCCGUCUCCUCCUGCUCAGCCCCUCCGUGUCUCUGACCCUCAGGUCUCACCCCAUCCGUGCCCAGCUCCCCUCCCUCCUGAGCUCUGCACUGACCCUGUCUCUUCCUUGGCCUCUGGUUUCUCUAUGGCAUCAGCCAGCAACUGUGAGGCAGCUGUGUGGUUCCUGAGGCAAACAUUCCAAUGGUGGCUGGGGAGAUGGCUCAGCAGCCAGGAGCACUUGUUGCUGGUGCAGAGGAUCCAGGUUGAGUUCCCUCAGCACACGGUGGCUUCCACCAUCUGUGACUUCAGUCCCAAGGGAUGCAAUGCUUGUGCACCUACAUAUUUAUAUGCACAAAGAGGACAGGUCAUGAAAAUAAAAUAUAAAAAUAUGAUUUUAAUAAUCCUGCCUGUCUCUCCCCUACACAUCGAGAGUGUGAGGCCAGGGGCAGAGGGCACAGUGCUGUUCAGACAACAGUGGACCACCAGCCAAUGAAGGGAGCUCUGUGUUAGGAAUUUUGAGAUGGUUGAAAUAGAGUGUAGUGUAAUGACAAUUUGCAAAACAGCACAAAAUUUAAAGUACAAAAGAUCUUUCAUUGUAUGGACCUGCUGUGAACAGAGGAACACGGCCUCAUCCCAGGAUGAAGACACAGUGUGUGCUGCUCUUUGUAAUUCAGCAGAUGUCAGUUUUGAUUCCCCAUGAACAGGAUAAAUUCCACUCAGAUGGUUGGAUACUAAUUUAUAAGAGACCAGAACAUCCAAACACCCAGAAUGUUCCUCAGAGAAAGGUGUCCCCUUCCCCCAUCUUCCCUCCCACUGCUGACCCUCCAGAUCUCACCUGUUGAAGAUGGAGUAGCGUCCCAUUCUUGUCCAAUGUCGCCCCCUGGUGGAAGAAACAGAGAGGACGGAGUCUGAGCCCAAGGAGCUGAGGGUAAAGGGGACCCAGGCUGACUGAGCUGCCCCAGGGCUUCCUUGCUGUCUGUGCUUCUCCAGGGUCUCGGGUCUCAUGCUGCCCUGCUCUCAUCACACUUACAUCCAGAAGAACUUUACAUGCUUUUCCAGCCGUGGGAAGAAAACGCCCUGUAAGAGAAGAGGCAGGAAGCAGAGCCCUGAGUGCUCAGAGGAGCUGCAAAGCCCCAGAGUAGUUGCAGAACUCUGACCUGGACUAUGAUGUUGAUUGUUUGAUGUCAGCUACAUGGGGGGUUAACUAAAACCCCAAAAUGGAGGGCAACAUUUAUGAGGUGGUUUUGCUUAAGGUGAAGUGGGAAGGUCAGUUUCUGAUCCUUUGAUGGAGGAAGAGACACCUGUAAUCCUGAUUAUUUGAGUGGAGUCCCUCCCCGUUUCUAAUCUGGCCACACCUUCUGCUGGAGGCCUCAGUGAAGACAUGGAAGGAAUCGCUUGCUCUUUGUCUCUUGCUCUUGCUCCUGCUCCAGCUCCUGCUGCUUCUGUGGGACAUUCCUGCCUGCCUGUCCUUGCUCUGCAUAAUGACAGCAGACUUACAUUUAUUUAUGGAUGCCUAGGCUUCAUGCUGGGCCUGUCCAGGCUUCUCCUAACUCAGUUAUCCCAUUUACACCAUCCUAAGUUCUGCCAUGUGGCUGCUCACCUCUCCUCAGAUUCACACAUCCCGACUCCUCUGAGUCUGGGUGGUGACUCCCCAUGCUUCUCUCUUCCCAGAGUUCCUCCCUCUGACCAGAAUCCUGCCUUCUGCUCUCCUUGGCUAUAGGACAUAGGCUUUGUAUCUCAUCCUUCAGAAGGUGCUUUAGGUAGGCAGGGUAGGAGGGAGAGGCUUCCUCACACAGGGCACAACGACAUUAUCUCAACAUUGUUCCCAUUAGUCCUAUAAAAGGCAAAUCUUUCUCUGACAUCAUCAACUAUAUACAGUGAGAACAAGGAUAAAAACAUAAUUAUAAAUAGUUAACAAUUAUUAAUUCCCCAUUCAGAAUUAUUAUUUCUUUAUUUAAUUGAUUAAGAUUAAUUAAUUUUAUAAUUAAGAAUUUUAAUUAAUUAUUAAAUUAAAAAUAUAAGAAUUACACUCAUGUCUGGUUCAUGUGUAUCUACCAACCAUUGAGAAACUAUUAUGUAUCCUGUGAAUCCGAAGUCCUAUCUGUCCUGCGUCCAAAGUUCUUUGCCUAAUUCCCUUUCCAUUUUAACUUGAAGUUUUCCACCAGAAAAUAUCUUCCUAGACAUAAAUCAUUUUCUUAAAUCUUAAACAACUUAAGGUUAUUGUGAGACUGUAGCUAUCCAGUCUUCCUCCCCAUCAGUGACCUGAGAAGGAUAAAUGUUCCCUGAGAAAACGGGAAGUGCAGAGCAAGCAGCUUCAAAAGCUGCAGAAAUGGCAGAGAUUGCUGGCUGCCUGGACAGUCACCCAAGAUUCUCCUGCAGUGCUGAGGCGUCCAGCUUCAGGCUGCUGGCCCAGUGUAUGGUGGACAUCUUUGUGGAGCAGGAAUAUUGAAGGACUCCCCGACUUGUCUUGGCAAAGCUCACAGUGAUCUUCCUCUGUGUUCUGCUUGUCCCUGUUAGGACAGCAUGCAGUCUGCAGCUGAAGCUUGGGCAGGUUUUGGCUGGUGCCCAGCUCUGCCACAUUUGAAGCAAACUCCAUAUGGAGGUUCCUCGAUGCCCUCCAUCCCCUCUGAACUAGAAUGUGGUGCAGCCAAGAGCAUUCGUGCCUCACUGUUACGGAAAGCCUUGUGUUCAUAAAACAUUCUGAACCCCAUAUCCUGUAGAUGUCUGAGAUUCAAAGACCCCCUAUCUAUGUACAGUGUAUCAGAAUAGGCAAAUGGUGCUUGUUUCCAGCCAUCUACGUGAUGUUUGACUUUAGAAACAUCUACAAGAGGCUAAAGAAAACUUAUUUCUGUAAUUAAUAAAACUUGUUCUAACAUGUCCGUAAGACUGAUUGACUGCCCACUUGCAGUUUUUAGUUUUCUGAACUGUUUGCCAUAGAGACAAGCACUGGGACUUUACAAUAUGUUUACAGUGAGUCUCAUAUGUACGUACCUUAGACAAGAGCUGAGACAUGGACAUGGUAUGUUGUAGCAAGAUAUAUGCUAAAACUUCUCUCAGUUCACAAAAAUCCAGACCACUGUAAAGCAUUUGAGACCAUUAGAUGCUCCUGAGUCUAAACGCAGAGUCAACCGUCCACCCCUGUACCCUGUCAUUCCUUUAUGGUCCUGACGUGGAGACUUCUAGUUUAUUAGGAAAGUCAGUCAGAUCACAGGAUAGUUUGGGGGAGGGCACACGUGAAAGAGGGUUUGCCUGAGGAAGACACAGGUGAAAGCAUCUCUUGGUAAAGCACACGCAUGAAGAAUGUUCUGCUAAACAGACAUCUGAAAGAAGGUUUUCCUGCAGCAGACACAGGGGAAAGAAUGUUCUGCUGUGGCAGACACGUGAAAGGACCUGUGGUGAAGGAGUAUAAAUGUGACCCCACAGGCAGUCGAGGACGAGCCCUGAGCAUUGGGUUUGUUUUGCUCCGCCUUGCUGUUCUUAGUUAAGGACGAGCGAGCGUGGAUUGGUCAGCCUCACAUAGUUGUGCUGAGAUCCUCCACACCUGGGUCCACAGCCAGCAGGAAGAGAGAGAGGUUCUCCAACUGUCUUGGACUUUUGGAGCCACAAUUCCCAUCCAAGUGACAAGUUUCCUCUGCCAAGGCCACAUCCCCUAAUUGCCUUCAAGCACUUCCACUCCCCGAUGACCAUGAACUCAAAUCUAGGAACUUAUGGGAGUGAAUAUUGGAUACAUUUUACUUAUUUUUUUUUUGAGACUGUGUUUCUAUAGUGUGCUUUAUCUUGCACACCUGGCCCUGUAAAAAGUUCCCAGUUGCUGGUCAACUGGCCCUUUAGAAUUCUUAGCUGUUAGAACUGCUUGACACCAUGACAUUAAGUGUUGUUGCCUCUUGGAUUUCAAGAUAGUUCAUUAGAAGGGCAGCUGAGUGUGAGAAAGGAUUGGGGGAGCAGAGUGAGAGGAGAAGCAGUUGGUGCAGAAGCUACAGGGAGACAGUAGAGCCAGGAGGAGCUGACUGAGCAGAGAGGCUAGAACAGUUGUCACAGUCUGGAGCUGCUGUCAUUGGGAAAACUGGAAGAAGGGAUUGAUUAAGUGCCGUGUUGGGGAAUUGAGGGAGGAACUGCUUUUGGGAGAAACAUUAGAAGGACCAGGGUUGGAAGAUGGAAGAAAUUGUUGAAAAGAAUUUAGAUUGACAGGUCUCCUCCUUUCCUCUCUAGUCAUAGGGGGUGAAACCAGGAGGACAAAGGGUGGGGAAAAAAGAACCAACAAAGUAAUGAAGACCAGCUACAUGGCUCUCCGUGUAACCCCGGCUGCCCUGGGACUCACUCUGUAUACACUAGGCUGGUCUCGAACUCACAGAUCUGCCUGCUUCUGGGUAUGCACAACCAAGGCUCAGGAAAUAUUCUUAAUCAAAUCACCUCAGAAGCCUAUGAUAUUUGUGUUUGAUCACAUAAGUGGAAUAAUUGCCAACAAAUGAGAGAAAGGCUACAUUCUAGUGGCAAAAGAGCAUCUCGGCCCAGGAAUCAGUUUCUAACCUUGAGCCAGUUUGCAGAUGCAGAACGCCUUGAAUGAACGAGUGGCCAGGUGACCCUGAAAGUACCACCCUGUUCUCUCCACUGCUCAGUUCUUGGCUGAUCAGCUUUAUUGACAAAGCAGAAAACAGACGGGGAGCAAUGUUUGCACACACUCCAGACAGGACGUUCUUACAGUAAGCAUUCCAGUGCCACGCCCAGUUUAAAACCAGAUGUGCAGAGGCGAGAAAUCGUCAUUUGAGUGACACAAAGGUAAUCUUUACACGGUGCACAAUGACAGUUGUGCUAACAAAGCUGACAAGAGGUGGACGUGUGGUGGCCAGGCUUACAUGCCAACUGGACUGCAUCUGGAGUUAACCCCAACAUGGAGGGAACAUCUGUGACAGGAUUUGCUCAGUUUGAAGUGUGAAAAAUCAACUUCUAUAUGGAUUUUGUGGUAGGAAGAUACAUUUUAAUCCAGAGUAUCUGAGAUGGAGACCCCCACCCUAAAAUGUACCACACCUUCCGGUGGACGCUACAUAAGGACACGGAUGAAGGAAGCCUUUGCUCUUUGCCUGCUGCUCUGCCCUGCUGGGAAGUUCCUUUCUUCACUGACUUGAGCGCCUACGUCUUUGGGGUGGUAGCUUACACUGAAGGGCAGCUGAGGCGUCCAGCCUUGUGCACUGAGCAUCUACUGAAUUCUUGGAGUUUCUAUUCAUCGUCAGCCAUUGCUGAGUUAUCUGGACCACAGACUGUAAGACAUUAUCAUACAUCAAAUGUAUUAUAUUAUAUAUAACAUAUAAAUGUUCGUUCUAUACAUUCUGUUACUCUUGAGACAUGGCUAAUACACAGACCCAGCAAGGCCAGGAAGCACUGGUCUGCCCUGUGGUGAACAGAAAUGUGUGGUUUAAUGAGAAUGGCCCCCCAGGCUCAUAGAUGUGAGUGCUUGGUCCCCAGGGUUGGGCACUGUCAGGAAGUGUGGCCUUGUGGGAGGGACUGCGUCACUGAGGUGGCUGAGGAGUUUCAAAUGCUCAGGCCAGGCCCAGGGUCUGGCUCUUUCAGCUGCCCGCGGAUCUGGAUGCAAACCCUCAGCUGCAUCUCCUGCAUCUUGUCUGUCUGUCUGUCUGCUACUGUGCUCCCCACCAUGACAAUAAGGAACAAUUAGGAUCGUGGGUGCCAUUGGGUGGCCAUUCAUGUUGUUUAUCUAAGGGACACUGAGGCCAAUGUUGCAUGGACAGGUGAAUAAACUUAGGGAUCUUCAGGUUUGGUUUCAGAUGCACAGGGUGGAGGAUUCUAAGAGGCCUCCCAAGAUAACAAGAGGGUGGGAAAGAUCCUGCUGCCCUGGGUGAGAGAGGGGAAGCAGAACGUCACUGCAGCCUGGAGCCAUGGGUGCCCCCAGACUCAGGGAGAAGAAAAUGAGGACCAAGCUGUUCAGUGGGUCAUCACCACAACUCAGCAGCCUGGCCACACCUAAGAGUCCCGGUGCCUGGUGCCAGGACUUUUGUAGAAGCCAGAAGUGGAAUGAGAACCAAGCUCUCAUAAAGGAUCUUAUUCAUAGGGAAGGGUUGGGAAUGGAGUCUCAGAAGCCAUGAGGGCCUAGAGGAGUUGCAGGGUUAGAGUUGCAAGUUACAGGCGUCUCUAACAUGAGAGGGUAGGAGAGGGCAGGAAGAGUCACAGUCGCCCAGCAGGGCCUGAGGAAGUUGCAGGGUUACAGCUCUGAAUGUGGAGGGAUGGAGGGAGGACCAGAAAAUCACAGGGCCUAAGGAAACUGCACUGAACACCAGGUUGACCUAGCAGAGCUGUGAGAGAGGUAGCUCUGAAGGAAAAAUGAGCAAAGGAAUGGUAGGGAGCGCCAUGGCACAGGAGAACCUAAGGGAACUGCAGAGUGGCAGCUCCAAUGGUAGGAGAAUGGGGCCAGGUAAAGAGGGCCAGCCUUAAAGACUGAGGUACCAGUGAAGGCAAAUACUUGAGACCAAUGAAGCAUUAGACAGCCAGUUAUGCAAGCCCGCCAUCACUGUCCAUGGCGUCCUGUUACACUCCCUCCAAACAUCCCAUGUCCUCCCAUAGCUCAGGAAAACACAAUGUGAAUCUGUCUUAGCAAACUCCAUGUGUGUCUGUCUCAGUUAGCACGUCUAAAACUUCCACUGCAAUCUGCCAAUUUGCCUGAGUCCACAGAAUUGGUAGGAAGCCUCCAGAACACCAUUUCUUUCUGUAAAGUCAGGACAAACAAUGACCAACAAGGAAUGGCCAGGUACCAUCCCCAUCCAGCGUCUUUGCUCUGGUGGGAAGUUCUUCUCAACUGCAGAGAGCUUUUCUGAAGUGCCAUGUAUUUCAAACUUUUGGUUUUCUUAGAAAUUCAGUUGUGUGGGAUGAUAUUUUACUGAGGCAAACGUGUGAAGGAGUGUUUUCCUGAAGCAGACACAAGUGAAAGGACAUUCUGCUAAAGCAAGGACGUGAAAGGACCAUGAUAAAGGAUUAUUUGAUUAUGACACACAGGGAUUGGUUCACCUUACAUUGCUUUGUGGAGCUCCGUUUGUUCAGGCUCCAUAGAGAGAAAUGCACCAGAAAUGUUCUGGUGGUGUGCUGGCGGCUCCCUGCUGCUUCCGUGGACUGGGCUGAUUGGCAGAGUGACGUCAAUCUGUGAAUGAUACAGACCUAUGUGAAGUUUGGCUAAGAUAAACUCACAGGCUAAGGCAAGACACUUGGUGAGGCAAGACUUAUGGAGGACAUGUGAAGUUUGGAGGGAGUAUAAAUGGGACCCAAUGGACAGUGACAGGAGGCUUGGAUUGCUUGCACAGCUCUCUUUGUAAUGCUUCUUGGUCUCCUGUCUUCACUGAUCUGCCCUUCCCUGAGAGAGGCAUGCUAAGGGACUUCUCCUGGUGUCUCUGCUGAUCCUGAUCCCUCCUGCUGACUCCUGCCAAUUUGUCUGAGGUCUAGCUGUUUCUGCAAGGUCGUGCUACCACUGCUGCUAUCUGGACACUAAUGAACUGACCUGUGAACUGAACUGCUGAUUUCCUGACAACACAGAGAACACUUGCUCCAAAGAUCAAUUCCUAAACAGGUCCAUUUUCUCUGUAUCCUAUUACCCAUUUUUUCCCACUACCUUUAGUGGGUUGUGGGCUUGAAGGGAGGUUAAAGCAUUUAAGAGACCACAUUAAAGUAGGGAUGAGAAAAAUAUAACAUUACAGCGCCAUCUCUGUGGAGCUGCUGUGCGAGGCAGGAGAGGAGGCGCUGGCACUAUGGACAGCUCCUGUGAGACAGCUCUUGCGGUGGGAUUUGACCAAGACUGUAGGCUGAGGCAGGAAAGGAGUCACCAUUGUGAAUAGCCUCUCCUGACAACAGUAGGCUGAGGCAGGAAAGGCGAUGCCCAACCAUGGACAGCUCCUGUGAUGGUGGCAGGCUGAGGAGAUGUCAGGGCCUCUGCCUAAUAUUAGGAAUGGAACAAGUUUGACAGCUCCUGUCAGGGCAUAUUACUGCAGGCUGGGGCAGAAAGAAGCGAUUUGCUGCACCUUUGUUGGAAUUUGCAGCUAACAGCUUCAGGUGUACAGAACUGAUCAUUGAAAAUAAAAUGCACAUUUUACAAAGGGUGCCAAAUGUGGGGCGAUGCAGAAUGGGCAGGUUUAUUUCAAUUACCUUAGAACAAAGGCAGGAAGAGGAGGAGUGGAUACUUUGUUUCAAAAAGCCAACAGGGUGCUUACUGAGGCUGUUCUUGGGACGUGCCCUGUAUGGUUUUUAGCAGCCAUAUUUUUUCUCCUUUUUCUCAUUUUGUGCUAUUUUGUUUAUAAAAAGUUGAAAGGUUGGUGCUUAUUCCUAUUCAAGGAUUGAUAGGUUUCCUGCUCAAGUAUUGGUGGGUUUUGUGGGAAGUUCAUGGGCUGGGGGUUGGGGGUGGUUCUUUGUUUUGGUUUUGCUUUUGCUUUCUGGGUUUUUUGUUUGUUUGUUUGUUUGUUUGUUUCUUUUGUUUUUUUUAUUUGUUCUGGGAUUGGUAGGGUUUUUUUUUUUUCUUUUUUCAGAUGCACUACCUUUCUCAGAACUGGGCCCAGGGGUUAGGAUAAGAAGUCCUUCCUGGGCGCAGGCAGCUUUGCUGUGGUGCCAUCUCUGUGGAGUUGCUGGGUGAGGCAGGAGAGGAGUUGCCCCCACAAUGGACAGCUCCUGGGGGGCAGCUCCUGCUUCAGAAAAAAGCAGAUGAGCCACCCUGGACUGUGAUGUCUUCAGCCUGAUGAGAGGCCUUGGUGCAGCCAUUUUCUCAAGAGACACAAAUUUUGACAGUCCCUGUGAGGGCAUCUUAAAGCUGAGGUGAGAAGGCAGGGCCUGGCACUGGUUUGACCGAUUUUGCUGUGCACUGCUUAGGGACUACAUGGUGUAGUUUGGAGCCGCUGGUGUUGGGAAAACUGGGAGAAGGGACUAGACUGUAGGAGAACUGUGGGAGGAACGGUUGGGAGAAAUGUUUGAAGAGACGGGGCUGGAAACAGGCAGGAGAAAAGGAAUGGAUACUUUGUUUCAAAAAGCCAACCUUGUGUUUUCUAAGGCUUUUCUUGGGCCAUGCCCCACAUGUAUUUCCACGUCAGUUUUCGUUUCCACUCUCCAUCAUUUGGGGCUAUUGUUUAUAAAACGGAGGAAAGAUUUGACUGAGGAACUGGAAUAAAUACAGGAAGAAAUGGAGAAGCGUGGGAUUCAAAACAUGGAGGGAAAAAGGAAAACAGGAGGGUUCCUCUCUCUCUUCUGAGAAGUAGCAGAGUUGGCUGUGCAACUGGAGAAACUAACAGAGGUAGAAAAGAUUGAAAAAUUUCAAACACAAGAAAAGGGAGAACCAGUAGGCUCAUUCCCAGUGACUGGAGCAGAGAGAGGGAGCUUCCCCCAGGUAGAAAGAGAGGAAGAACCUGGGUCAGAGGGCGGUCAGGUCAAAGUGGAAAGCAGGAGGAUGGUCAGAGGAGACUGCCAUGUUUGGGAGACAGGGAUAAACCCACAGCACCUUUUGAGGGCAGGCUGUCCUGGGUCACAGAAUCCCAACAGCAUUCCAAGUAGUUCCACCACAGCAUAUGCUGGCUAAUGGAGACAAUCCACCCACAUGGUUAUGACAAUACAGCAUGGGGUGCUGUACACAUGAUGGACCUAAGGCAUUUUAAAGACACAAUGAUGUCCUAUGGCAUGCCCUUGUCCUAUGUGAAACAAACUCUAAAUAUUUAGACUACUCAGAAUUGAACUAUUCCCCAAGACUGAGGAGGAUUGGUAACAGCUGUAGCAGAGGCUGGACCUCAGUGGUAAUGGUUGCCAUGAUGGAGAGAAGAAGCCAGGAAUGUGGAAGAGCACAGAGGAGGAGGGGAAUUAACACAGCUCAGGUCCACUUGACAGGGGCUCUGCGCUGCUGUACAGGAACAGGGCAACUUGAGGAUCCAAUCUCAGAACAGUGCUGCUUAGCAGCUUUAAGGGCUGGGAACCAAGUGGAGGAGCCAGGACAGAAGUCCACAUCACUUAGAAAAAUUAUGCAAGUCUCAGGGGAAGCCUUCACUGACUUUUUUUUUUCUUUUGCAAGGAUUAGUUUCAGCUGUGCACAAAGCCAUGUCAGACCCUGAUUCCAGACAAGUGCUGUCUGAGACCUUAGCAUUUGAAAAAUCUUCAACUGUGGCCAGCAGCUCUGCACGGUACUCUGAGGCCCCUGGCUAUUUCCAGUUCCCUGGGUGUAGCCUAGCGAUGGAGGCCCACAGUCACUCAGCAGCUGGCGAUGUUGGGAGGAAGUUGCCAUGUGAGUAGACGGUGAAUGGACACUUCCUGCAUUGAGGUCCGCAGCUAGUGCUUCGGUGGCGAGGCCAAGGCUUCCAAGUCCGCGCACCCGUCCGAGCGCCUGCUAGGAGCCAGUGCACUUUGUUUUGUCACCUUCUUGGGCCGCCAGGGCAACUAUGGCUGUCCUCACCCUGCCGCUGCCACAUUACAUCAGGCAGACACCAGGUGCGGCUCACGGGAGGCCACAAACUUUGAGCCCAGACACGGCUGGGCUGUACACUCUAUGUGCAAUGCAUCCACACAAUUAACUUACAUCCGAUUGAUAAGGGUAUUAACCACCCACGUAGAUAAGAUAAACCUGUCUACAGAAAUCCAUCCCUGAAGAAAUAUUCAUGACAACCUGUGUCUCCAUAGAGAUGCGUGGCUAGGAUCCUUUACGUCUCCCUCCAUGUUGCUUCUCCCUUUCUGCUCCCUUUCUUCUCCCCAAUGAGAGGCCUCAUUUGAUCUUGUGUCUGCCUUCACCUGCAUACAUGGCCAAGAUCUGCAAUGUUGGCAAUCACGAGGCCUUCUCAAAGAAGAGAGAGCCAGGAGAAAGGAUGUCGUGAAGACAGAGAGGUGAGUGGUGCAUUUAACUCUUUUUCUUGUUCUUGGAUUUCUGCAAGAAUGGUGGUUUGUACUUGGACAAGAGAACGCCAAAUACAGACAGAGCUGCUAGGCCAGGUUGUAUCAGGUCAUAAUCAUGGCUCCCUUGACUGGUGUAGUCCAGCGAGAAUUGUGUGGAUCUCAAAACAACCCACGUAGAGCCUGCGGGUGUGCGAUAAAAAUUGGGGCCCUGAUAAGGACCUUGGAUAAUAAUCUCAUCAUUUCUUAAGGUCCUAACAUCAUGGAUUCUGCAUGAAUGGUAGGGACAACCCACGUUCUCCUCAAUCCAUCUGUCUAAGCAGUAGGAACGUUGCUGAUCAGACAAAAGAGCACAAGACAGGAGCAACUUUUCCAGGCCGUGUCUUAAAAUCUGUAAAAUGUAACAUUUUAGCAGAUCGGCAUCCCACAGGUGGGCCAUCAGCCACGGCUCUGAGACAACCAUAUCUCUGAGUUUUAGCAUGGUUGGUAUAAUUUCCUGUCAGGAAAAAAACGCCAGGCAAACGGGGAAGUUACCUCCCUUUCACCUGGUGCUGAAGCCUCACAAGUGAUUUUCAUUGGCUCAAAGGACCGCCCAAAGGAACGUCACCAGCAAGCCGAAUUCAAUCUUUUUCCUGAAAAGAAAAAGAACACGUAUUCUCAGGGAAGAGGUUAUUCCCUGGAUUUAUUAUCAUUAUCAAUUUGUGUUACCAAUCGCUCUGGCAGCCAUCUGACUGCAUCAUUUUCUUGAAAAAAUACAGACUGACCUUAUCCACCAGGUAAGCACUGGGUCAGGUCCACGCCAUUUUUUAUCUGAAGGAUCUUUCCAUUUGACCGAGGCAAACUGUUUUUGUGAAUUAGGGUGCCAAAAGUGAUCUGCAGCUCACUUUUCAUCAGCAUCCAAUUUUUAAAACUUUAAACUAAGAAGGGCAUGGUUUACUAUAUUUCUGGGGGUACCUUUCCUAGGGUACCAUUCUCCCUUUUUAAAUGUUUUCAGUAGUGGUUUUUAAAGACAAAUGUGCUCUUUCUACCAUGCCUUGUCCUUGAGGAUUACAGGGAAUCCCUGUAAGAUGUGCGAUGUGUAACUGUGUACAGAAUUCUUGAAAAUCCUUUGAGAUAUAACCUGGACCAUUAUCAGUUUUAAUUUGUUUGGGAAGCCCCAAGACAGAAAAGCAGUGUAAUAGGUGGGCACUGACCUGUUUGCUGCCUUCCCCAGUUUGUAGGGUAGCAACAAUGAACCCACUAUGGGUAUCUGUACAAACAUGAAUAUAUUGUAAAUUACCAAAUUCUGAGCAGUGUGUGGCAUCCAUUUUCCAGAUCGUAUUUGGUAUCAAGCCUUUGGGAUUGACUCCCAAAUGUGGAGUUGGGAGGUGAGUCUCACAGGAAGGACAUUGUUUGACUCCCUGUCUGGCUUGUUCUCUGGUAAUAUCAAACAUCAAUCUUAAUGUGUGAGCAUUUAAAUGAUGGAAAGAAUGAGCUGUCUGCGCCUGGUGAAGACUUUCAGGUAGGCCAGGGGAGGCGGUGGCUAUGAACUUAGCAGCCCCAUCUGCCACUUCCUUGCCUCAGGUCAAAGGUCCUGGCAGACCAGAAUGGGCCCUAAGGUGUCCCAAGUAACACUUCUUCAUCCAUUUUUGGAUAAGUUUUUGACAACAUAAAAACAAGGUGGCUGUUUCUGAGACAUCGAAUGUGUCCCACAGGUUCUAACAGAGGUGUGGGAUGGGCUAGGUAAGCGCUGUCCAUAUAAACAUUCAAGGAUUCCUCAGGAGAGGCAGAAAGAACUGCAGCACUGGCCUGUAGCUCAACCACUCAGGUGGAGGAGUUUGAGUCUGGAAUUUAACUAUUUUCAUCUUUAAAAGUACAGGCUACAAUGCCAUUAGAGGAUCCAUCAGUAAACACCAGUCAAGCCUCGUCUAAAGGAUCUUUACUAAUAAUUCGGGGACAUAUAAGAGCAUGUGGCUUACAAAAUUGAAUUCGCCUGUCAGGUGGACGAUGGUUGUCUAAAGCUCCUGCCUGAGGCCCAGGCAACAGGCCCUGUGUCUGUGUCCUGUGAAAGCCGGUCCACCUGAGGUUGGAGGUGAGGCUGAAUAACUUCUGCUGGCUCAAUUCUAAAGUGUUUUCUAGCAUUCUCUCUUCCUAAAAUAACGAACUCUGAUACAGCAUCACAGUAAGGUAAUAAAACCUCCUUCGGGGAAGAAGGUAAAUGAAUCCACACCAUAGGGUUACUCUGCCAAAAAAGGCCGGCUGGUGUCAUGGUCAGCUUAAAUGUGCUGAGCACCAAAAGUUGAUAAUAAUUUGUAUGAGUGACAAAUUGUUUGGCGAUGGCAUCCUCGACCUUUUACAGUGCCAAAGGUGCUGACUGAGAAAUUGAUCUUCAGGAUUUAGGGUGAGGAUCUCCUUUGAAUACAUCAAACAAGGGUUUUAAUUCUCUGGUAGUUAAGUUUUAAAUAAGGUCGAAGCCAAUUAAUAUCACCCAACAAUUUUGGGAAGUCAUUAAGAGUAUAUGAUUGAUCCCUGCAAAUGGGAGCCUUUUGAUGAAUUAUCUUUGGUCCGUUCAUUUGGGAUCCCACGUAAUUAUAGGCUCCCAUAACUGAACCUUUUCUGGAGCUAUUGGAAGCCAUGAAGCUGCUAGCCCUUUUGUCAGCUGGGUAAGGCAUUGUAAACCCUGUCCACCUUCGUGUCCUGCUAUUAAUGUAUCAUCCAUGUAAUGGACAAUAUACAUGCUGUUCAAGAACCUCUGAUUGUUUGUAUGGCCUUAGCAAGGUAUUUUUUGGCAUAGGGUGGGACUAUUGGCCGUUCCUUGAGGCAAGACUCUCCACUGAUAGUGCCUCAUAGGUUCUUUAAAAUUUAUAGAUGGUAGACUAAAGGCAAACCUUUUCUGAUCAUCAGGAUAUACAGGAAUUAUUUAAAAAAAGCACUCUUUUAAAUCAAUUGUUACCUUAAAAUAACCUAGAGGUAUAGCCACGGGAGAAGGCAGCCCAGGUUGGAGGGCACCCAUGAGUACCAUGGUAGCAUUCACAGCUCUUGUAACAGCCUCCAUUUGCCAGAUUUUUUUCUUAAUAACAAAGAUAGGAGUAUUCCAAGGAGAGUUACUCUCUUGAAUCUGUCCUGCUUCCAAUUGUUCCUGCACUGACAAUUGUGCUAAUUGUAGUUUUUCAGAGGUUAAAGACCAUUGAUCGACCCCUAUGGGCUCAUCAGACUUCCAGAUAAUUGGAUUAGCAUACCCUUGGGGUGCAGGCACAUCAAUGGCGGAAAUCAAAAAUUUCCCAAUCCCCUUUUCAUCCUUCUGGCCUGUGGCUGAGAUAGGUUGUAGAGCCGUUUUCUCGCUUUCCCAAUCCUUUUCCGGGCCUGUGUCCCUGGGCCAACAUCUGAGCAGCAAUCUCCUCAUUAGAACGACACAUUAUAACUAUCAUCGGGGAAAGCAAGCCCCUCCCCCAUAAAUUCACAGGCAAAUGAGGAAUUACAAAAGGCUUAAUGAGGCCUGAAUUAUUUUCCUUAUCUUUCCAAGUAAGGUAUUUUGAACUUUGUCUCGGGUUGAUACUCUGACCAAUCCCUCUCAGUUAGUUAAUGUCUCUACAGUAGGCCAAUGGGAGGGCCAAUCUCCUUGUUUAAUAACAGUCACAUUGGCUCCUGUAUCAAUUAAUCCUGUAAAUAGCUUUCCUUCUAGCUAAAGUUUGAGGGAAGGUAUCUGAGCAGUCAUCUCCUGUACCCAGUAAAUAUUUGAUGAUCCAAAACCCCCAUCUCCUCUUUUGGGAUGUUGUAUUUUAUUGUCAGUUUUCAUUAGGGGAAGCAAUAUUAACUGAGCUAUCCUCUCACCCUGGGGAACGG
This is a long non-coding RNA of Rattus norvegicus (Norway rat), 16653 nucleotides long. RefSeq lists it as uncharacterized. Lineage: Eukaryota; Metazoa; Chordata; Mammalia; Rodentia; Muridae. The record is from RefSeq and is a predicted model, not a curated record.